Molecule: ribosomal RNA, 253 nt
Filed under: uncultured bacterium
Lineage: Bacteria
Description: partial 16S ribosomal RNA
Rfam family: Bacterial small subunit ribosomal RNA
Source: RNAcentral
UACGGGGGGGGCAAGCGUUGUUCGGAAUUACUGGGCGUAAAGGGCUCGUAGGCGGCCAACUAAGUCAGACGUGAAAUCCCUCGGCUUAACCGGGGAACUGCGUCUGAUACUGGAUGGCUUGAGAUUGGGAGAGGGAUGCGGAAUUCCAGGUGUAGCGGUGAAAUGCGUAGAUAUCUGGAGGAACACCGGUGGCGAAGGCGGCAUCCUGGACCAACACUGACGCUGAGGAGCGAAAGCCAGGGGAGCGAUCCGG